GUCUGGGAUAGCUCAGAUGGAAGAGUGCAAGGCUCUUAAUCUCAGGGUUGUGGGUUCAAGCCCCACGUUGGGCA
Podarcis lilfordi (Lilford's wall lizard) is the source of this 74-nucleotide non-coding RNA. The record is from the annotation of a GenBank genome assembly. Lineage: Eukaryota; Metazoa; Chordata; Lepidosauria; Squamata; Lacertidae.